GACGAACGCUGGCGGCGUGCUUAACACAUGCAAGUCGAACGGUGAAAGAAGAUCUUGCUCUUCUGGAUCAGUGGCGAACGGGUGAGUAAAACGUGAGUAACCUGCCCCAGACUCUGGAAUAAGCGCUGGAAACGGCGUCUAAUACCGGAUACGCGACAGAGCUGCAUGGCUACUGUCUGGAAAGUUUUUCGGUCUGGGAUGGACUCGCGGCCUACCAGCUUGUUGGUGAGGUAAGGGCUGACCAAGGCAACGAAGGGUAGGCCGCCCGGGGGGGCGACCGGCCAAACUGGGACUGGGACACGGCCCAGACUCCUACCGGAGGCAGGAGGGGGGAAUAUUGCACAAUGGGCGAAAGGCUGGUGCAGCGACGCCGCGUGAGGGAAUACGGCCUUCGGGUUGUAAACCUCUUUCAGCAGGGAAGAAGCGAAAGUGACGGUACCUGCAGAAGAAGACCCGGCUAACUACGGU
This 468-nucleotide ribosomal RNA is filed under the name uncultured bacterium. Its description in RNAcentral is "partial 16S ribosomal RNA". It matches the Rfam family "Bacterial small subunit ribosomal RNA", at positions 28 to 507 of the family's 1533-position model. The record is from RNAcentral.